UACGAAGCGUCCAAACGUUAUUCGGAAUCACUGGGCUUAAAGAGUCCGUAGGCGGCCAAUUAGGUGAGGUGUGAAAUCCCCCGGCUUAACCGAGGAAUUGCGCUUCAAACCGAUUGGCUAGAGGAAGAUAGAGGAAAGCGGAACUGAUGGUGGAGCGGUGAAAUGCGUUGAUAUCAGCAGGAACACCGGUGGCGAAAGCGGCUUUCUGGGUCUUUUCUGACGCUGAGGGACGAAAGCUAGGGGAGCGAACGGG
Molecule: ribosomal RNA, 253 nt
Filed under: uncultured bacterium
Lineage: Bacteria
Description: partial 16S ribosomal RNA
Rfam family: Bacterial small subunit ribosomal RNA
Source: RNAcentral